Molecule: ribosomal RNA, 780 nt
Filed under: uncultured Neocallimastigales
Lineage: Eukaryota; Fungi; Neocallimastigomycota; Neocallimastigomycetes; Neocallimastigales
Description: partial large subunit ribosomal RNA
Rfam family: Eukaryotic large subunit ribosomal RNA
Source: RNAcentral
UAUCUCUGUAGAGUCUGCAUAUCAAUAAGCGGAGGAAAAGAAAACUAACUAGGACUCCCUCAGUAACGGCGAGUGAAGCGGGAAGAGCUCAAAUUUGAAAUCUUCAAGGUUCUACCUUGACGAAUUGUAGUUUAAAGAAGUGUUUUUCUGUUGGAGUUUUGGUAAAAGUUCUUUGGAAUAGGACAUCAUAGAGGGUGAGAAUCCCGUAUUUGACCAUUAUUUCCAACUUUGUGAUACACUUUCAAAGAGUCGGAUUGUUUGGGAAUGCAGUCCAAAAUGGGUGGUAAAUUUCAUCUAAAGCUAAAUACUGGCGAGAGACCGAUAGCGAACAAGUACCGUGAGGGAAAGAUGAAAAGAACUUUGAAAAGAGAGUUAAACAGUACGUGAAAUUGUCAAAAGGGAAGCGUUUGACACCAGUGUUGUUUUUCUCGAAGAUCAAUUAAAAAAUGGCUAGGAUUUUGUGUUGUAUUGACUUUAUCAGCUUUCUGCACUUUUUUCUUGUCUUUUUUAAUGCACUUUUCGUUUAACAAGUCAACAUCAAUUUCUUUUGUUGUAAAAGGGUCAUUGGAAGGUGGCUUUCUUUUCGGAGAAAGUGUUUAUAGCCUUUGGCCUCUGCAAUCGGAGAGAUUGAGGUCUGCAGCGUAGAUCCUUCGGGGUUAGAUACAUUUGUGCUAAGUUAUAGCCUUUCAUAGACAACUUGUUGACUAUGAUCAGUCAUGUAGCUUACUCGCUUAUGUCUAUUUUACCUACGCUUAGGAUGUUGACGCAUGAGAUAUACGC